This is a long non-coding RNA of Sinocyclocheilus anshuiensis, 118 nucleotides long. RefSeq lists it as uncharacterized. The transcript has 3 exons. The record is from RefSeq and is a predicted model, not a curated record. NCBI's taxonomy places the organism in Eukaryota, Metazoa, Chordata, Actinopteri, Cypriniformes, Cyprinidae.
ACUGCAGAGGAUCCACUGGUGAACAAGUGAAGUAAUGCUACAUUUCUCAAAGUCUGUUACAAUGAAGGAAAUAAACUUAUCUACAUCUGGAAUGGCCUGGGGUAAAUCAAACCACAUG